GGGUAGGGUUGGUUUAGGGUUAGGGUAAGGGUAGGGUUAGAGGUAGGGUUAGGAAUAGGGUUAGGGUUACCCUACCCUAACUCUACCCCUAACCCUACUCCAACCACUAACCCUAAC
This is a non-coding RNA of Pelobates cultripes (western spadefoot toad), 117 nucleotides long. Lineage: Eukaryota; Metazoa; Chordata; Amphibia; Anura; Pelobatidae. The record is from the annotation of a GenBank genome assembly.